UGGACAGAUUAUUGUAUUCGACUGUAUUCACGGCGUAAAACAUGGGAUUACACUAUUUUUAAAACGGAAAGUGAAUCAAUUAACAUAAUAGACUCCU
MicroRNA precursor from Nicotiana attenuata, 97 nucleotides. It matches the Rfam family "MIR6152 microRNA precursor family". The record is from Rfam. Lineage: Eukaryota; Viridiplantae; Streptophyta; Magnoliopsida; Solanales; Solanaceae.